Molecule: ribosomal RNA, 500 nt
Filed under: uncultured bacterium
Lineage: Bacteria
Description: partial 16S ribosomal RNA
Rfam family: Bacterial small subunit ribosomal RNA
Source: RNAcentral
GAUGAAUGCUAGCGGCAGGCUUAAUACAUGCAAGUCGUGGGGCAGCAUGAGUAGCAAUACUUGAUGGCGACCGGCAAACGGGUGCGGAACACGUACACAACCCUCCGAUAAGUGGGGAAUAGCCCAGAGAAAUUUGGAUUAAUACCCCGUAACAUAUAGAGUAGGUAUCUUCUUUAUAUUAUAGCUUCGGCGCUUAUUGAUGGGUGUGCGUCUGAUUAGGUAGUUGGCGGGGUAACGGCCCACCAAGCCUACGAUCAGUAGCUGAUGUGAGAGCAUGAUCAGCCACACGGGCACUGAGACACGGGCCCGACUCCUACGGGAGGCAGCAGUAAGGACUAUUGGACAAUGGGCGAAAGCCUGAUCCAGCCAUGCCGCGUGAAGGAUUAAGGUCCUCUGGAUUGUAAACUUCUUUUAUUUGGGACGAAAAAAGGGAAUUCUUUCCCACUUGACGGUACCAAGUGAAUAAGCACCGGCUAACUCCGUGCCAGCAGCCGCGGUAA